This 714-nucleotide long non-coding RNA is filed under the name Ananas comosus (pineapple). Its description in RNAcentral is "long non-coding RNA (ACOM_LNC031572)". The record is from RNAcentral. Lineage: Eukaryota; Viridiplantae; Streptophyta; Magnoliopsida; Poales; Bromeliaceae.
AGAAUGCAAAAUCUGAAUUUGCGAGCAUAUUUUAUUAAGUAAUUAGAUUAUACAAUGUGGACUUGGAAAUUGAAUUAGGAGAAAACUUGCGAUUUGGACCUGUCAUCAGUUUUAACUACCUGAUUUAGCUCUAGGAGCCGUCAGAAAAUUGUACUGUCUCAGUUUCUUCGAGACGAGUACUCCAGGUAGUUUAGAAUGUAUUUACACUCGUGCUGGUUCGCCGAGUGGAUUUUUACAGGGUCGUUCAGGUUGUUCCGGACUGUUGGGUGCCGUCAGAGUUGACGGUGGACCCGUAUCGCCUUUUUGGCGUCAGACUGUGCCGAGGGCACGUUACCUGUUGGUUGUUAGGCCAGUUUGAGUCGAUUACUUGACUUUGGAUAGUUGGAGCCUGAUUGAGCUCGACAGAGAUACGCUGCAUACUCGGUUGGGUAGCGCCCACGAGUGCCACUCCGGAGUCAGGCUUGUGCUUUUGCGUUGGUGUCGCUCAUGCCAGUUGGACUUGCUCUCCACAGACCAGCUAGUGUGGAUAGAGCCUGAUAGUCGCAACGGGGCAGGGACGGGUGUGUUCACAGUCCCAGGGACGGGUAUGUUUACAGUCCCAAUUGGAUUGGGUCAGAUUUGACAUUUCCUACAGUCGGUUAAUGUAGAGCAUGAUAGUGUAGUGGAUGAUAGCGAUAGAGUGUACUUCCUGCUUUUCCUUCUAUCCUUGCUCCC